This 460-nucleotide ribosomal RNA is filed under the name uncultured bacterium. Its description in RNAcentral is "partial 16S ribosomal RNA". It matches the Rfam family "Bacterial small subunit ribosomal RNA", at positions 338 to 795 of the family's 1533-position model. The record is from RNAcentral.
CCUACGGGAGGCUGCAGUGAGGAAUAUUGGUCAAUGGGCGCGAGCCUGAACCAGCCAAGUCGCGUGAGGGAGGACGGCCCUACGGGUUGUAAACCUCUUUUGCCGGGGAGCAACGGGCGUCACGUGUGGCGCCACUGAGAGUACCCGGAGAAAAAGCAUCGGCUAACUCCGUGCCAGCAGCCGCGGUAAUACGGAGGAUGCGAGCGUUAUCCGGUUUUAUUGGGUUUAAAGGGUGCGUAGGCGGAUCGUUAAGUCAGUGGUCAAAUUGAGGGGCUCAACCCCUUCCCGCCAUUGAAACUGGCGAUCUUGAGUGGAAGAGAAGUAUGCGGAAUGCGUGGUGUAGCGGUGAAAUGCAUAGAUAUCACGCAGAACCCCGAUUGCGAAGGCAGCAUGCCGGCUUCCGACUGACGCUGAAGCACGAAAGCGUGGGGAUCGAACAGGAUUAGAUACCCCAGUAGUC